RNAcentral lists this long non-coding RNA (7469 nucleotides) under Panicum hallii. Its description in RNAcentral is "long non-coding RNA (PHAL_LNC000673)". Lineage: Eukaryota; Viridiplantae; Streptophyta; Magnoliopsida; Poales; Poaceae. The record is from RNAcentral.
AUGCAGAAGUGAGAGCUGGGGCCUCCGGAAGAUUUACAAUUUUGUUGCAAUUGGUGAUGGACAGCUCUUCUAGCUGGGGAAACAUCACCAAGCUAUUAGGUUCUCCCGCGCUGUUUUCUGCCCAUCUCUCAAACUCCGGCAGUUUAUGCAACCGCAUCAUCUUUAACUUGGGGAAAAUUUCCUGAGAGGUACUAUAUCCUGCAGCUUCCGCAUCAAUGUUCUUACAUAAUGUGGUCAGGCUGUUCAUGGAGCUUAAGUGCAAUUUCUCAAGAGGGGACAACAACCACACUAAUGGUAGAUCCUUGCAGCGUGGGCAGUCGGAAAUCCGUAGUUCUCUUAGACAACAAAACAUUUGGGGGUCUCUCAUCCAUUGUGAGAUUGCCAGGCCACCAUACCCAUGUAGCUCCAAUGUUUUGAGCUUAGUAUAAGGUACAAGCGAUUCCAGUACCUCUUCCUGAUUAUUACUUACAACCUCAUCAUGCAAUGGAUUGUAACCUACUUCACGUCCCCAAUGCAAAAACAGCCCAGUUAGAUUCUUUUUCUCAUGGAGAUUGGCCUUUGAUCCACUCUUUACUUUCCUCAAAUUGAACAGUUCCAACAUGUUUCCAAGUUGUCUCAGGCCUUGGAGCUCCUCGAUACCAAAGCCAUCUCCAGUGUCCACAAUAAAUGAUGUCAGUGUACAGAGGUUGUGUAGUAGACUAAGCUUUGGAGGCAUCCUCUCCAAUCUAAUGCAUCCCAACAGAUAAAUAUGGGUGAGCUGCCUCAUAGUUUGCAUGCCUUCCGGUAAAAAUUUUAGUUUUGUACAAAGAUUGAGCCACAAUGAUUGCAAGUUGUACAGCAUACAAAAUGAAUUCGGCAGUUCAACAAUUUCUGAUCCAGAAAUAUCAAGAUAUCUUAAAUGUGUUGUAUUUAUGAGCCUGUGGAUAACAUAUGCAUCUGGGCAAUGGAUCGCUCGUACUGAUUUCAGUUUUAACUCCUUAACAUCCUUGCACUUUGGGUUUUGAGCUAAUAAAGUUCGGAGAGAUAGCGAGGCUUUCAUUAAUCCAGUGAUUUCAUCCGAUUCAUCCCAUGGCAGCUGCAUGUGACGUACAUUAUUUACGGAGGCUUUCUGCUGAAUCAACUCUUCUGCAAAAGCACACUCAUCUGUGAUAUCUUUUGCUAGGUCAUGCAUUAAAUCAUGCAUUUUACAUCCAAUUUCCUUGCAUCGACGGAAAGGACCAUAUCCAUCAAAUACCUUGACAUUUACAUCUUGAAUAAAUGACCUCCACACCAACUCAUAGAAAACAAAUUCACCUUUUUGCACCAAAUCUAUAUCUCCCUCUGCUUGAAUAAAAUUGUUUGCCAUCCAUAGUUGGAUCAACUUUUCCUUAUCCAUCUCGUAGUCCUUAGGGAAAACCGCACAGAACGCAAAGCACUGCUUCAUUUCAGACGACAAGUGCAUGUAGCUCAGUUUUAGAAUGGACAGUAUUUCAAUGUUGCCACCCCUAUUGCUUUCUGCAAUGGCCUCCCAUUCCUUGAUUUGAUAUUUUGAGCUCAUCAAUCCACCCAUUGUCUUCAAAGCAAGAGGUAGCCCCUUGCACUUGUUGACAAUAAGUUUGCCGACUGUUAUGAACUCUUCUUGCUCUUCCACUCCUUUACAAAAUGCUUUCUUUGAGAACAACUCCCAUGAAUCCUCCUCACUCAGGCAUGCAAGCUCAUGGGUUGGAAGGGUGCCCAUGAUAGAGGCAACUUUUGGGAUUCGACUCGUGACAACUAUCAUGCUUCCCAGUCCACCAAUAGAAGAACAUAGUAGUGGCUUCAGGUCGUCAUCCCACUUGAGCUGGUCUUCAUUCCACACAUCAUCAAGAAUCAAUAGGAACCUUUUUCUACCAAUGACUUCCUGCAGUCUCUGUCGAAGCAGCUCCAUGGUGUCUGGCAGAUCACAUCUUCCAUUUGUAGCUAACUCGAUAACGGACUUCACAACAGCAGUGGCUUCAAAGUUUUCAGACACACAGUGCCACAUCCUGAACUCAAAGUGCUCCUGAACUUUGCGGUCAUUGUACACCAUCUUUGCUAGUGUGGUCUUACCCAAACCUCCCAUUCCAAUGAUGGGCAACACCUGCACACUGCGCUGAUCUUGCUGGUCGAGUAACAGCUUCACCACCACCGCCUUGUCGUCAUCUCUUCCAAAGAUUUCCGCAGACUCGUCGAGUGCAGAGUGCGUCUGCCGAUUCAGAGGUUGUGGCGCCUCUGGCUCGCGCUGAAGCAGGACAAAUUUCUGCAUGUCCUUCACCAGCUUGUCGAUCUUGCCCAGCACGUUCUUGAGGUCCCUGCUCGCCUUAUCACGGAACACAAGUCGAUUCCUUGAGCUGAAGAAAUCCAGUACCUUGCUGGUGGUAGAUCGAAGGCUCUGGGCCUCCCGACGCAGCGCCUCGUACUGGAAGUCAUCGAGGACGUCGUCGGCCUGGUACGCGGCGGCCCUGAGCUCCCUCAUCCACCCCUUGACGGCGCGGCCGGCCUCGGUCUCCGCCUCCGCCUUCGCCUCGGCGUCGGCCAGCAGGGACUGCACGUACAGCAGCUUGAGCUCCAGGUCGCGGCGGUCGUCGUCGACGCCCCACAUGGCGGUGACCUUCUGGACGAGCGCGUCGGCGGCCUUGCCGAGCACGCCGCGCACCACGGGGAGGAGCAGCGUCUCAGCCAUGCUGGGCGGCGCCCUUGCCGGGAUGGAUCUCACUUCUCAGCAGGCUGCAGGCUGCGUGCGCGCCGUCCGCCGUGGGGAGCGAUAGGCAGAGCCGGGGAAUGGUGGUCGAGGCUUCAAUCGGGAACUGGAAGAGAGCUACUGUGCUGGCUGCUGGAGUGCUGGGCCUCCCUCUCGUCGUCGUCGUCUCAACGAGCGCGUGAAAUGAAAGCUUGUGGGUCUUUUUUGUAAAAAGAAAACCUAGUGGGCCUUUCAAUCAAUCAAUAAAGACAAGGGAAUAAAGUAGUGCGCGUGACGUUUCGCUGCAGUUGGCAGCAAUGAUCCACCUAAAUUUAGCAAACCUUAGGUCUGCCAGUGUCAUGUGAGAAAAAAAGUAAGAAAUGCAAAAUUAAACUGCCUAACUUCUGUAGGGAUUAUGCAGUUUUCUUUCAACCUUUUUGUUCUUUGCAACGUAUUCUGUUUGAACAUUUGUAAGGGAAUAUGGGAGCCUUCACGAGGGUCCUGCAUAAUGCAUCUGCAUUUGUACAAUGUUUCACGAAAACAAAACUCUAUGAAAAGAUCCCUCUGAAAAUAAUGCAAUCUAUUUUGAUUGAGCAAGGCACAAUUGCCUUAUAUGUCCACACGUAGAUCACAAGGGCACAUCUCGAUAUGUACAAUCAUCUUUCAUCAGAAGGGCAGCUACUUCAUGAAGAAAGAUGACCAACUCCAUUUACAAGCUUACUAUACUAUACAUCAUCUGCAAACAAAACCAAACCGCUUGCCAGAUGAUUAAAUAAGGACCACUGAUCCUAAAGAAGAAAAAAAUGGGUAAAAAUGAAGAACAAAAAAAUGGGUAAGUCAGUAUCAAGCAGCCUAGCGCUGACACUGCUACAGUAUUGUGUCCGUAGUUCGUGGGCUGUGUGAGCCUCUGGAGUAUAUUCAUGCUCCAUUUUGUUUAUGAAGGUUUACAUAGGCCUUUCUCGUGUUCUUGCGGAAUGAAGUUUGGUCUCCAUGCACAUGACCCUAGAGCGUCCAUGCCUACAGCGUCAACCCUGUAUAAACUGAAGGUUCCAUAGUUAGAUCAUCAGUGCCAGCAUUUUCUUUAUUCCUGUUGCUUGCUUUAUUUUUUUUGGGUCGAGAUUUGCCAUGCCAAUAGGUGUGGACAGAAGACAAGGCUGCUGCUAACUUUCCACACUUUCAAACUCUAUGAAGAAUUGAAUUGGGUCCCAUUCUUUUGGUAUCUUACAAUCUAGAGGUUUAAAUCAGUACAUCGUGCAAAACUUGUACAAAAGUCACCAACCCGACAGUGAGGAUUCAUCCUUGCAUAAAUGGAUAAAAAUGAAGAACAACAAUAGGCGCGCCAUGUUGAGGAAGCUCCAUCCAGAACGACAUAUACAUAAAUUGCUUUCAUGCCACAAACUUGGAUUAUCUGCAAGGCAAGCUGGGACCGGGCGCAACUGGAGCCAUGUUAGUUGAGUCGACCACACCAAAAGGGGGGCUUUGAUUUUCUGAAGAUGUGAUUGCAAGAUUAUCUACUAUGGUCCUCUAACAAAAUAAGAAUAUCUUCAUCGCUUGUUCCACCGUCAAUUGCGUACUGUAAUGCUGUUCUACCAUCUUGAUCCAUCGCUUGUGAAUCGGCCCCUCUGCAUAGAAACGCAAAACACAGAUAUGAGAUGUGUAUUUGCAUUUUUGCUGCUUUCCGGGAUCAUUCCCGGUCACCAAGCAAAACAGAGCUGCGAUGAUAUAUAGUGUCAUACUAGCAGUGAUUCACAUCAACCCUUUUGACGGAGCAAACAUGUAGUGCAAGAUCAAAUUCCUGAGUUAUCAUCAGGUUCUUGCAUACCUGGAGAGGAGAAGCUUGGCAUGCUGAUGUCUUCCUUUCAAAAUGCAGUGAUGAAGGGGUGUCCGACCCUUUGAAUCAGUCAUAUUUACACUAGAGCCAUACUGCAAUAGUAAUUCAACCAUCCCAACAUCUGCGACACGGCAUGCAAGAUGAAGCAAGGAGAAACCUUCACAACUUUCCUCCAUGUCAUCUGUGCGUGAACUUGUGCUAGCAGGGGAAAGGGGCCCUCUUGGAGAAACCUUGCAAGUGUUUACUGUAAUUCGAUCGAGUCCCCACAGGGAAAAGAAAGCCAAACGUGGUGGCAAUGUCGACAAAGUUUCUUUGUGAUCUUUCUUGAUAGGUCGUCGUCAGCCACUGAUGGAGGCCGCAGGCAGCAACUCGACGUCAGCAGAGGAGAGCAAGCUCCACCUGGUGUUCUGCACCGAGGAGGUGUGCCAGCAGCCGCCGAUGUCGGUGUGCUACCAGUCGGAGCUCGAAUGCCGGGAGGAAUGCGACCCCAAGUGCCAGUUGCAGGCAUCGCUUCUUGGUUCUGAGAACUGAGAUGGAAGGCUGUGCGAUUGCCAGUGUUGAGGGGAAUAAUGUGCUGACGAUGAUGCGCUUUUCAUCAUAAGGGAAGGGGGAUGAAGAAUGACGAGGAUACAGAGAAGCAAGCAACUUGAUUUACGAGCUUAGUAUACUGUAAUACAGCAAACAAAACCAAACAUCUAAUAAUAACCACUGAUGCUCACGAAGCAAAAUGAGGGGGCGCAAUGGCGCAUCAUGUUGCAGAGCCCCAGAAGGAUAUAUGCGGUCGGCUGCGUACGAAUCAUCAGCACCCUGCAUAUUCAGAAACAGAAAAAGAAACUGAGACAUACAUUUUUUAUUAAAAAAACAAUUUUGUUCUUCGACGUGAACUGUUUAAUAAAAGCAUUUUUUUAGUUUCUUUUUCGUUAUGCUUGUUCCUCUUGAAAAGAAGAACGCUAAACUUUUCUGAAGUCAUUUGCUGCGAGGUGAGUUUACUGACAAAUGGAUUAUGAGUGCCCUGUCAACUUGGUUUUCAGAAAGAAAACAAAAACUGUUGCUACCAUCUACUAUGGAAUGUUAGCUCAUCGUCUCCACUGCAAUUGGUAAGAGUACCCAGGAUAUCAUCUAUCUAUAAACAUAAAACAUGGCCCAACAGGCAUCACUAAGAAUCGGUCCCAGUCAAACUCUGCAUCUUAUGGAGCUUUGCAAGGCAGUUGAGUAAUACACGCACUGAAGCUGGGACUGGAUCUGAAAUUUACCUCUGUAUAAACCCUUUAUACAAAUCAGCGAGUCAGGUCCAGUUUCUGAAGAGUCUGGAAGGAAGCGACAAUGAUUGCUUUGCUUUCAUAUAUAAGUUUGUGUUGACAAAGGGUACAUUGCUAUCCAAAAGUAUGAGGCGUCGGCAGCAAUUCAACGAGGAGCCAAGGAGUGGGUAAUUUGGGGCACUUCUUCCCAUCGCACUCAACUCAAAAUCUCAGCUUCUGAAGCAACUGAAAAUAAGGGAGAGAAAAUGCAUUCAGAUAUAAUAAAUUGAGUUCUACUGAAUAUGCAUAGCAAGUCAAUCGGAAUAAAAGAAAUAAAGGAGAGAAAACGGUAGUGGACUGUAUGUUAGGAACUGAACGAGAUAUAUAGUUGGAGCGCAAUAAAUAGAUGCAGGAGCAUACGGACCUCAGCUACUUGAAGAGCCACCGACGCACCAGGGGAGCAACCUGCUCUUCGUAGACUUCUUUGUUUCAGGUUCAUCUGGUUGUGGAAUCCUUUUAUCUGGAAUCGAGAAGACCAAGUCGAAGUACUCCCCACCUUCCCUGCAACGUCUCUGCAGGUCCGGGCAGCCAUAUAUUUUCAGGGAUUUGAGGGCUGGGAGCCGCUGGAGGAGACCCUGCGGGAAUUUACUUAUCCCUGGACAAUUAUAGAUCUCCAAUUCCUCAAGAGAAGUGAGGCCGUCCAUCCCGCCCGGCAGCACUUUCAGCUCAGAGCACGACACCAACCCGAGAUGCCUCAGCUUUGCCAGAUCUCCAAGGUUUGAAGGCAGCGCCACCAAACUUCCGCAAUAGAAAAUAUCCAAUUCCUCAAGAGAAGUGAGGCCGUCCAUCCCGCCCGGCAGCACUUUCAGCUCAGAGCACGACACCAACCCGAGAUGCCUCAGCUUUGCCAGAUCUCCAAGGUUUGAAGGCAGCGCCACCAAACUAACGCACCGGCGAAUGUCCAAUUUCUCAAGUAAAGCGGGCAACUUUGGAAUCUCCAACAAGCUACGGCAGGAUCGUAUUUGUAACAUUUCCAACCGGGGCAGCGGAAGGAAUUCCUCAGAGGAUGAUCCCUUCCCCUCUAGUUUGCUGCACCAAUGAAUCUCUAGAGAUUGAAGGCGAACAAAACAUCGGAACUCCUCCACUGGCCAGCGGACAAUAUUGUCGCAUGAAAAGAUUUCCAAAUGUUCCACGAAUGCCAAACAAUCCCCAAGCCCCAGUUGUAAUUUGGAUGAGUUGAACAUUGAUAUGAAGCCAUUGUUACCUUGUACAGCCAAACGUCUAAGGGUGCGUAGAGGUCUUUGGCUUUGGUUUUGAUGGUCCUUCACAGGCAUCACCACGUUUACCAGCCUCCCAAACGUCAAGUGGAUAAGAGAUGGAAAAGAUCCCCACUCCAUGCUCAUAGGAACAAUACAAUCUGCAGACUUCUCCUCAAAAGAUGCAGAAGUGAGAGCUGGGGCCUCCGGAAGAUUUACAAUUUUGUUGCAAUUGGUGAUGGACAGCUCUUCUAGCUGGGGAAACAUCACCAAGCUAUUAGGUUCUCCCGCGCUGUUUUCUGCCCAUCUCUCAAACUCCGGCAGUUUAUGCAACCGCAUCAUCUUUAACUUGGGGAAAAUUUCCUGAGAGGUACUAUAUCCUGCAGCUUCCGCAUCAAUGUUCUUACAUAAUGUGGUCAGGCUGUUCAUGGAGCUUAAGUGCAAUUUCUCAAGAGGGGACAACAACC